GAACAUCUAAAGAUCCAAAGCAGGAAAGAAAAUAUCUCUGCCUGAAGCAAACCCAGAAAGGGAUAUAGAAGGAGACAACAUGAGAACAAAGAUGAGAAAUACAACAAUAUGGUGAAAUCUUGUUAAUUGGAAUUAAUGGGCUAGAAGCCUUCCUAAAUAUAUUGAACACUUAAAAAGUUUGCUAAAUUUAUAUACUACUUUAAAGUGUAAGUUUAUGAGAAAAAAAAAAGUGUAAGUGAUGAAUAAAUCUCACCCGUGUUGCUUUCUGGAUUUUGUUUUGUGGUAUAAAGUAUCAAACUCCAGGCCUCCUACAAUGUAGGCAGGUGUUGUGAUUAGUACGCCUCUGGGUAUACCUAAGAAGGAGCAUGUAAAUGACCGACCUUCAGUGUGAAUAGCUCUAUUCCAUGGGCUUCACUGAAUAAGGAGACAGUUAGCUGAGCAUUAGCUGUCAUUGUUCUCUAUACUCUGACCUUGAACACGAUGUGGCCAGCUGCUUCCCAGUAACUACCCAGCUUUCCCUACCAUGGCUGGACUUGUAAGCCAGAACAAGCCCUCUCUCCCUUAAGCUAGUUUGGUCAGGUAUUUUGUCGUAGCAUCAAGACUGUUAACCAAUACAAGUUUCUAUCACUGACUUACAUCCUUGGCACAUUUUUAUUUUCACUCUGACACAGGUCUUGCUAUAUUUAGUGCAGUGUGCCCUCAAGCUGAAGGUUCUAUGUCUGCUUCCAGAGUAGCUUGGAAACACCAUACUGCUCCCCACCCUGGGCCUAUUCUCUUAAAAAACAAGGAAAUUCUUAUGAUGUGAUUAAUCUAGUGCUGGUGUGGAAAAUAGAGAAUAGUGAAUUUGCUGAGCAUUGGAUAUGUGGGUGCAAGUGAGACUCAUGGGAUAUAGGGAUGAGAGUGAACAUAUUCAUACAUAUUCAUCCUCUUAAACCACAAAAGACAAGAAGCUGUUUCUCAUUUCCUUAGUUGGUAUCAUUUGUGGAGUUCUUUAAAGGAUAUAUAUUAUCAAAUCUGGUCAUGAACGUCUAGAACAGUUCUUAUCCCAAUUUUCUAGUUGCAGAAACUGGAACAGAAAGACUGAUUACUUUAGGUGAUACAUAAAGCAAGAAACAAGUUGGACCCAAAUGCAGGGUAACAACUCAUCCUGUUUCGUUUGGUUUUUAUCUUUCAAUAUACUAAGUGGACUCAUCAAUAACAUACUAACUUCAGAUAAGAAGAAAACGUUGGGGAUGAAUAGGGAAAGUUUGAUAAGGAAAAAUUGUACAAGAAAAGUUAAUAGUUACAAGAAGUAACUGACAAGACUGCCAUUUCACAAUCAUGAAGAGGUUGAAAGAUGGGUGUUUGGUUUUAGUUUAAAGAACAGGAUAAUUGAGAUGUCCUUGUUUAGGCAUCGGACUAAAAAUCCUAAAGAACAAAUCCUAAAGAACAAAUAUAUUUGCAAAUCAUCUGUGUGUGUAGAUGGUAAUUACUCAUUGUGUCUUUAUUGCUUUCUGCAUACAGUCUAGAACAAUGGGGUCUAGUAAACACUGUAACAGUAGUUUCUCAUUCAUGUUUUAAUAUGGGGCGGGGGCACUGUGUUUGAAGGCAUGAACUACAUGCAGCAGUUCUAGGAUCUGUACUGCUUGCCUACCAUAUGACUCAAGUAUGCUACUUAGCUGCUGAGGCUCCGUUUUUUCAUAUAUAAAAGGGACGGCAACAACUCUAUCCUCACAGAACUGCUGUGAGAAGUAAAUUUGCUAAAAACAUUUAGGAUCCUUAAAAAUAUUUUUGUUUAGUAUGUUAAGUGUUAUGGAUUGUGCCUAUGCUUAGAAACUAUCACUUUAAGAACAUUAUAUAUUAGGGUGCCCAGUUGACAUCUGCACAUAUGCCAGAAUCAGAUGAGGGAUACUGAACCUUUGUUAGUUCCAUGGUUCUGCAACAUUGAGAAUACCAUAUAAAAGGCUGUUCCUCCUGAAAGCAACGAGGUGAACUUUGACAAUAUAUUAUGCCCUUCUGGUUAUCAUCUUUCAUGAUUUAAUUCAUAAUAAUGAAAUAUAAUUUGCUACUUUUAAAAGUUAACUCUAGUCAGGUACUUUGAAUCCCAGCACUGUGGAGGUAGGGGCAGGAAGAUAUCUCUGAGUUCAAGACUAUCCUAGUCUACAGAGUGAGUUCCAGGACAACCAAGGAUUCAACUAGACCCUGUCUCAAAAAAAAAAAAAAAAAAAAAAAGUUAACUCUAUAAAAUUCCUUUGCAGAUUAGUUUCUUCUGCAUUCAAAAAGCCUUUUUAAUAUAUGGAAAUAGUCUCUAAACAUAAAGUAGAAUCAGAACUCUCUAAAAAUGGAAAUAAGCACAAAAGUUAUGUUCAAAAGUAAAUAUGAAUUGUGUACAGAAUGGUUUUCUGCUGGUGAUGUAGGGAAUUAUUGUAAAAAUGAGGGUAAGGAAAGAUUGUAAUAUCCUAUCCUAUGACUCAGUUUUUAUAUUAUUAGU
RNAcentral lists this long non-coding RNA (2470 nucleotides) under Mus musculus (house mouse). RNAcentral's name for it is "long non-coding RNA chr10:50740467-50742937". Lineage: Eukaryota; Metazoa; Chordata; Mammalia; Rodentia; Muridae. The record is from RNAcentral.